GCUCCCAGUUAGCCUCCCUUGGCUUGUGGUUCUACCACACGACCUUUACAAAUGAUAUUUCUCGGUUGCGGAGUAUUCUGCUCUUUCAGUCCGUGAUACCGACUGGUACUUCCUCAUAGGACAAGUGCUCUUAGAGUGGAAACGGUUCAUGAGCCAAGAUAUGAGAGGGGUCCGGGUUGUACUUGCAUAACAUUGAUACAUGAAACACAUUGUGGACCUUGGAGAGCUCUGGAGGCAGUACUAGU
Molecule: long non-coding RNA, 245 nt
Filed under: Carica papaya (papaya)
Lineage: Eukaryota; Viridiplantae; Streptophyta; Magnoliopsida; Brassicales; Caricaceae
Description: long non-coding RNA (CPAP_LNC010017)
Source: RNAcentral